RNAcentral lists this ribosomal RNA (533 nucleotides) under uncultured bacterium. RNAcentral describes it as "bacterial SSU rRNA". It matches the Rfam family "Bacterial small subunit ribosomal RNA", at positions 773 to 1308 of the family's 1533-position model. The record is from RNAcentral.
AGGAAAUAGAUACCCCGGUAGUCCACGCCCUAAACGAUGUCGACUAGGUGUUCGGUGAGGAGACUCAUUGAGUACCGCAGCUAAACGCGUGAAGUCGACCGCCUGGGGAGUACGGUCGCAAGAUUAAAACUCAAAGGAAUUGACGGGGACCCGCACAAGCGGUGGAUGAUGUGGAUUAAUUCGAUGCAACGCGAAAAACCUUACCUACCCUUGACAUGUACGGAACCCUGCUGAGAGGUGGGGGUGCUCGAAAGAGAGCCGUAACACAGGUGCUGCAUGGCUGUCGUCAGCUCGUGUCGUGAGAUGUUGGGUUAAGUCCCGCAACGAGCGCAACCCUUGUCAUUAGUUGCUACGCAAGAGCACUCUAAUGAGACUGCCGGUGACAAACCGGAGGAAGGUGGGGAUGACGUCAAGUCCUCAUGGCCCUUAUGGGUAGGGCUUCACACGUCAUACAAUGGUCGGUACAGAGGGUUGCCAAGCCGCGAGGUGGAGCCAAUCCCAGAAAGCCGAUCGUAGUCCGGAUCGCAGUCUGC